GCACUGGGCAUUAAAUACAAACAGGGAAAGAAGAUAUAGAAAGGCUAUCCUUGCGUGCAUACUCAUAAUGCUGACGUUUACUGGCUGGAGGAAUACCUGGGUAACUCAGCGGUGUGCCUACAGCCACAGAACUUUUCUCAGUUCAGACACAAGCAACCACUCGUGUAGGAAUCAAAACACAACUCUCUAAUAGCCGCUACGUGCGACCACAGAAGCUCCCAUUCCUGCCAUCUUGAGUCAGAAUGAAAUAUCAGUAGCAACUGCUGAGAAAGGCCUCCUCUUGAAACCCUGCUGAACCACCUGUCAGUCAGAGCUGAUGGCAUCAGGAUGGAAAGAGGCUGAACUGGUUAAUGGACACAGAGGUUGAUCAGGUAGAAGGUGCAUUUCUCUGUGUGAAAUGUGGGUACCCUGAAAUAUUACGGAACUUCGAA
Molecule: long non-coding RNA, 431 nt
Organism: Podarcis raffonei (Aeolian wall lizard)
Lineage: Eukaryota; Metazoa; Chordata; Lepidosauria; Squamata; Lacertidae
Exons: 2
Source: RefSeq, a predicted model, not a curated record